RNAcentral lists this long non-coding RNA (615 nucleotides) under Lathyrus oleraceus (garden pea). RNAcentral describes it as "Pisum sativum (pea) long non-coding RNA (PSAT_LNC039281)". Lineage: Eukaryota; Viridiplantae; Streptophyta; Magnoliopsida; Fabales; Fabaceae. The record is from RNAcentral.
ACAUCAACCUACCACAUACACCCAACAACCAAACACCCAACUUCGCAUACCAUUCAUGCCAUCCACCCAACAACCAAACACCCAACGUCGCAAUCCGUUCAUGCCACCCACCCAACCACAAAACCAAGAAUCAAACUCUACCCACCAACAACCAUACGAUUCAACCACAACCGUCUAUAGCCCAAAUAAUUCAUAUGAGUCACUUCAUCGUAGCUCCCCACCAAUGACCACUCAAACAUCCCAUCACCAAAACACACAACCAUUGUUUAACUAUACUACACCCUAGGAACCAUUGCUUCGUUUCCAAAACGAUUCAAUGUCCCAAUUCGGACAACUAUACCGUUCGCAAUCCACCCAACCCCAUUGACCUAACUACGAUGACAUGGGCACCGAACUCCAUUACGAAAGCGUCGUUGGCCAGAGCCCCUCCGGAUAUUGGGAACAAAUGAUGACACAUCUGUCAAAUACCGUUGGAACUUCCGCCGGACCUUCACACCAGCCAUCAUUCGAUCAGGUCAGCACACAAAGACCUCAAACACCUCAAGAAAAUCGUGGGAGACCUCAGAGACAAACUAACGCACCUGGUUGUGGAACAGGGGGACCUUUCGAUCGGGU